Molecule: long non-coding RNA, 635 nt
Organism: Cyprinus carpio carpio
Lineage: Eukaryota; Metazoa; Chordata; Actinopteri; Cypriniformes; Cyprinidae
Source: Ensembl
AGAUAAGAGCUUGAGGUAAGCAGUUUUAUGUUUAAGUGCCAUGUCACGUUGAUUUCAUGUCACAUUUUUAUUAAACAUGGAUCGUACCAGCAAACACACUGUGCCAUGCAUCUGUGUGAUUUAGCCAAAGGAUUAGUUUACUCACAAAUGAAAAUUCUGUGAAGUGAAAAUGCAAAUCAUUUAGUCACCUUCAUGUCAUUGUAAAAUCAUUUGAAAGAAGAGAUCUUCAGCUGUAGGCUACUGGUCCUGGUCCCUCAUUUCCAUGCAGUUAUAUCAAACUCUAGUCAUCCAUUGGUGAGACAAGCAGACCGUCCCGCUGUAAACUUCUGCCAUUGCUUGAGUCGAUGUUGUUGUGUUGAUCUGGUCAGGACUGCAAACUAAUGCAGACUCAAACUUGUGGAAGCAAAUAACAUACAGUCGUCUCUGCAUGAACUGAUAUAGAAGAAAGUAUUUUAUAAAAUCACCUUUACCAUAUACUGAUGAAACAUUAAAAAGUGAGGAAGAAGAGAACGUCAUGACUGACCUUUAAGACGCUGGUACUGUAAUAUCUCUAAUAUCAAUAGGGAGUCUCUUGCUUUAACUACGGGUCACAGGAGUGGACCUCGCUCUGUGAUCCUUCGCUUCCACGUUGCAAA